This is a long non-coding RNA of Felis catus (domestic cat), 1683 nucleotides long. RefSeq lists it as uncharacterized. The record is from RefSeq and is a predicted model, not a curated record. Lineage: Eukaryota; Metazoa; Chordata; Mammalia; Carnivora; Felidae. The transcript is spliced from 14 exons.
GGCGGCGCCGGGUGCGCGGCGAGCGGACUGCUCUCCCCACGCAAGCCGCCCCCUCGCGGCACCCACUCCCCGCCGGCGCUCGAGUCGGUGCGAAGCCGCAGACUCACUGGCGACUCGACUGCUGUUCUUCAUGAUAUAUGGUACAUAUACCUGGUCUGGAUUCAGGAGAAAUGGAAGCAAUUGGAGCCAUGCUGUUCUAUUUUCUCAACAGCCAACAACUCAACGAUAACAGUACCAAUGAUAUGCAUUUGAGAAAGUGAAGCCUGAAAGAUAAAUUAUCCAGAGUUACACAGAGUUAUAGGUCCACAGGUUGACAUUAUCCUCUUGAAGAAAUGGAACAAUACUCCCCAGGUGGUUACUUGACGACAACAGAAGCAUUAGAAGACUCUCCAAAGCAAUUUAAAAGUUAUCCUUUUCUGGGGAUUCACUCAAAUGGUCUGCAAAAUAAAAAUUCCUGACUGCAAAGAUCCAAAAUUACUAAUUGAAGGAUGUUUUGGUGUGAUGUGUCCUAUAACCCAUCCCAAGCAGUUGUUGGAUGAGUUUUCAUCUGUGUGAGACCUCUUUGGGAACGUAAUAUCCAAAGAUAGCUGCUAUCAAUUCCUUCCUCCUGGAAUAUACAAGUUCUUCCUCACGUCAAAAGGAAAGACAGUAAACAUUUCAAGAGAAAUUAUUUGCCUACACAGUACCAGAACUAGCCUGAUUUAAAAGUGAUGUCACAGGCAAUAAUCAUCCCUGCUAGCUUACAUCACCCACCAUACGAAUGGGAAAUAACUCAGCUCACCCGAGCAGCUAUAUUCAUGAUCCUCCUCAAUGUCAAACCAUAUCUGCUCUCUAUUGUUUGAGAGUUAUCUUGACCUCUGAUACAUAGCAUCCAUUCACUUUAUUUCUGGUCAUCAAGAGAGUGUGACUGCUGGUUCAUCGCUGAGCUCAAACCAGACAACACAUCCAGAAGCUUCUCCUCACCCAUCCCACACCCUGGAAAUAUAUGUUCUGUCCACCAUUCCCAUACCAGAAGCUAUUUUCAAGGAUGCAACUUUGAGAGAAAAAAAGAAGAGGCCAGAGGGCCAGUUUGCUCUCUUUCUACCAUGUGAGGAUACAACAGGAAGUCAGCAGUCUGCAAUCCAGAAGAAGGCCUUCACCAGAACCUGAUCAUACUAAAACCCUGAUCUCUACUUCCAGCCUCUAGAACUCUUUUGGUGAUGAGGACUGGGAUCCGAAGCACACCUCUAAUACCCUACAGGAUAGCAAGAUACACAGAUCAAAAGGAUGACUUAUUCCUGACCUUAGGAAUAUUACAGCUUAAUGGAAAAGACAUGCCAACAGAACUGUGAGAUCAGACUGGUAAUUGUGAAUCAGAGCUCAUGACCUGAAAUGGGUAAGGUGAUCUGAAUUGAGAUGUUUAAAUCGCAAGACAGAACAAUUGAAAUGAGGCUGACGUUACGUGGAUAUUCUUGUCCUUUGACCCUUGUUAGCUUCGGCUAACUGGCAUCGGCAUGAAAUAUGAGGUUAAGAGAAUAAAGAUUGGCCUACUGGAAGACAGGGGGCCCCACAGAAAAUAGAUGUGCUCUAGGGGCAAUGAACCAGUCCUCCACUACACUAGACACUGACUGCAGGUACAAGAGUGAGCCCAGCUGAGAGCAUCUGCGCCUGACACAGACCAGCAGUACAAAGAUCUGAGCCCAA